UGCUACAGUUUGUCACGUUUAUUAUUCCCGAGAGAGGAAAAUCCACUCGGGAGAGAGUUUAUAACCUCAAUACUACAGAAUGUCACUUCAUCAAUGCAGCAAUCCCAAGGAUGCACUUUUUGGGUAAUUAUAUUAUAACAGUAACACACAAUAGCUGCAGUACGAGGUAAUAUCAUUUAAUUGUCAAUAAUAAUAAUAAUAAUAACCGAAAUUCAAACUAUAUAGUAUAUGCAUGUCAUAUCAAAUUUAAUUAAUUCUAAUUAUGCUAUUGUUGUUACACAACGCAUUACUUGAGGGUCCGUCGCAUAUCAACAAUGCAGAAGCGAGGAAAUAUCCUAUCCAUGUGAAAAGGACAAUACGUAUAGCCCCAAAGAGGACAUCAUUACAUACCAUUGCAUCGCAAACAUCCAAGUUAGUCAUUAAUGAUACACACACAGCAGCUUAAAAGUGUUGUUAAAAUCACUAGGUAUCAAGAUUGUCACAAAUUAGGAUACUAGGACACAAGCCUAGCUGCAGAGAAAGUAUUAUUUAUCCAAAUUUGAUAUAUUUAGUGAUGAGACGACAAUAGAUGAAGUGCCACCAAUUAACUCAGAAGGAUUUCAACUGAGUGUUGACAUAUAAAUGUAAACGAAGGAAAAUCACAUACCCAGGACACCAUAUGCACUGAUGGUGUAAUAUAAAAGUCCACAUUUAUCGAUGAUCACUUGCAAGAUAGCUAUUUUAUCCUGUGUAGUAUACAAUAGAUGUAUCUUCAGGAAUAUUAACUUUGAACAACAAUAAGUGAUGCAGCAGCACAUGGGAUCCCAACAAAUUAACUAAAAACGUACAAGAUUGAGGCACUGAGGUACAAUUAUAAGGAAAUAUAACACCACCAGCUCUCCACACAUAUCAAUAACGUCAUCAGGAUGGUAAUAUAUUGUCUCACGUGGACCACCAGCAGUUUCCAGGAGGCUUCAUACACCACAGUCCCUCCGAGGAAGACCAGACUGAUGAGGCUGUGUUGCAGCGUCAAAGGGAUGAUAUAUCCACUCAAUUAUAUAUCACUAUUUUAUAAUUAAUUUGCACACAUCGAAUAUCAUAUAUUUUAUAUGUCAGUUGUAAUUAUUAUCACUAAAUGAGUUACAAUUUACACACUAGUAUAUAAUUUUUAGUUAAUUUAGUAACAUAGUACUAAAUUCUCAGUAUAUCACAAGUUACAAUAUAUCAGUUUACAAAAGAUAUUAAGUUUAUUUAAAUGUAACUAGUUAACUACCUUUUCACAGUAUAUCAAAUAAUGCAGCUAAUCAAUUAAAGAUUCAUAUAUUUUGAGACCCAAUAUUAGUUUAUUUAUUAAUAUCUCAAAAAACAUAAAAAGUAUAUAGAAAGUAUAUUAUAAUACAAUCACAGUCUUGUGUAGAAUUAGCUAAUAGCCAGCCACUAUAUAAUACUUAUGCAAAUAUCUUAUUGCAUUUAUAAGAUGUCAUUUGCAAAUAAUCCAGAUUUCACAGAUCACUUGCUUCAAUAGAAAAGCUUUACUUAUCUUGUAAAUUAGAACUAAAUUACUCACUAAAUAAUCUAAAUAUAGAUCAUUUAUUCAGAGUACAUAUAUGAAGACGUAUCUAUAUCUAUAGAACUAUAAUUUAUGAUGAAUACUUAUUCAAAUCACUAUAUAUCUAUCUUAGAAGUGUAAACAGUCAUCAAAAUAUAGACAGUUUUGUAUAUUAAUUCAAUUCUUAUAGAGAGAUUUCUUAUUUCACAGAGUUCAUGAGGAGGAUGAAAUAUACACUAUAACCGUCCACCAUUAGCUCCAAUAUCCUAUGAAUAAGGGAUCUUCUUCAAUUGUUAAAUAAAUUAUCUUCUCAGGAUAAUUUAAAGUCGAAUAGGCACAUCCAGAUGGAUAAGAGAGGCAGUCAGACAUAGUUUAAUGGAGACAUUUAUGCAAAAAGAAGGCACUAAGAUCUUAUAUCGUGUAGUGCACAUACUACGUAUAGAAGAACAUGUAUCAAUAUUCAUGAAAGAAGCAGUUACUACAUCACAACGAGAGUACAGUAGUAAGAUACGAACAGCUUAUCAUAGUAAUAUUAUUAUCUGAUAUGAAAAGGCAUUAAGGCCUUAACUAAUUUAUGCAUUAUGUAUCAAUAAUUACAGUGGAUUUCUCAUU
Long non-coding RNA from Nylanderia fulva, 2140 nucleotides. RefSeq lists it as uncharacterized. The record is from RefSeq and is a predicted model, not a curated record. Lineage: Eukaryota; Metazoa; Arthropoda; Insecta; Hymenoptera; Formicidae.